Molecule: non-coding RNA, 484 nt
Organism: Pelobates cultripes (western spadefoot toad)
Lineage: Eukaryota; Metazoa; Chordata; Amphibia; Anura; Pelobatidae
Source: the annotation of a GenBank genome assembly
AUGGCUUUCAAUGCUAAUUUAACAUUAUUUAUAAAUAUAUUAAAUAGAAGCGUUCCCAAAACAGAACCCUGAGGGACACCACUUACCACUUUUGUCCAGCUUGAAAAUUUACCAUUAAUGACAACUUAUUGUACUCUAUCCUUAAGCCAAUGUUCUACCCAAAAAUAACAAUAUUCAUCUAGACCACUUUCAUUCCAUGCUCUAGUAACCCCUCUCAUGGAUUAUUGUAACUCUCUCCUAAUAGGUCUUCCAAGAAGCUGUAUUGCCCCGCUAUAGCCUGUAAUGAAUUCUGCCACCAUACUGAUUUUUUCCUCUCCAGUCGCUCCUCUCACACCUCACCCCUCUGUCAGUCCUUACAUUGGAUUCCUGUAUCCUAUAGGAGUCAAUUCAAAGUACUAAUCCAUGCCUAUAAAGCACUGAACAAUUUUAGCCCCUCUUAUAUAUUUUCACUGAUUCAUAAGUAUACCCCUUCUCAGUCUCUCCG